This 264-nucleotide ribosomal RNA is filed under the name uncultured bacterium. Its description in RNAcentral is "partial 16S ribosomal RNA". It matches the Rfam family "Bacterial small subunit ribosomal RNA", at positions 29 to 289 of the family's 1533-position model. The record is from RNAcentral.
AUGAACGCUGGCGGCGUGCUUAACACAUGCAAGUCGAACGAUUAAAGCUCACUUCGGUGAGUGUAUAGAGUGGCGAACGGGUGAGUAACACGUGGGAAACCUGCCCCUUUCUUCGGGAUAACUUCGGGAAACCGUUGCUAAUACCGGAUACUCCGGGAUGGUCGCAUGGCCGACCCGGGAAAGCUUUAUGUGGAAAGGGAUGGUCCCGCGGCCCAUUAGCUUGUUGGUGGGGUAAUGGCUUACCAAGGCGAUGAUGGGUAGCCG